UCAGGACGAACGCUGGCGGCGCGCCUAACACAUGCAAGUCGAACGGAGUUGUGUUGAAAGCUUGCUGGAUAUACAACUUAGUGGCGGACGGGUGAGUAACGCGUGAGUAAUCUGCCUAUCACAGGGGGAUAACAGAGGGAAACUUCUGCUAAUACCGCAUAAGACCACAGGAUGGCAUCAUCAAGGGGUCAAAGGUUAGAUCUGGUGAUAGAUGAGCUUGCGUAUCAUUAGCUAGUUGGUGAGGGUAAAGGCCCACCAAGGCGACGAUGAUUAGCCGAUCUGAGAGGAUGACCGGCCACACUGGGACUGAGAUACGGCCCAGACUCCUACGGGAGGCAGCAGUUAGGAAUAUUGGGCAAUGGAGGAAACUCUGACCCAGCAACGCCGCGUGAAGGAAGAAGGUUUUCGGACUGUAAACUUCUGAUCUAAGGGAAAAAGAAAGUGAUGGUACCUUAGGAGAAAGCCACGGCUAACUACGUGCCAGCAGCCGCGGUAA
RNAcentral lists this ribosomal RNA (496 nucleotides) under uncultured bacterium. RNAcentral describes it as "bacterial SSU rRNA". It matches the Rfam family "Bacterial small subunit ribosomal RNA", at positions 24 to 523 of the family's 1533-position model. The record is from RNAcentral.